Carassius auratus (goldfish) is the source of this 447-nucleotide long non-coding RNA. RefSeq lists it as uncharacterized. The record is from RefSeq and is a predicted model, not a curated record. The transcript is spliced from 3 exons. Lineage: Eukaryota; Metazoa; Chordata; Actinopteri; Cypriniformes; Cyprinidae.
GAUCCACUGAGGUAUGAUGCAUACCAUUAUGAUGUAUGGCCCCUUUUUGCAUUAGAGUAACAAACUGUCAUUGUCCUUUCAUAGUACAUACCUAGGGAUUUGCCCACAGAUGAGGGUCCUUCAGCCUCAGCACACAAUCUAAGCAGGUUGCCAGCAAAGGAGCUGUAUAAGGUCCAUCUUCAAAAACAAAUAAGAAAAAGUGACAUGGAGAUGGACCUUAUACAGCUUCAAAUGGAAGAGAAAAGGCUCCUCAUUAAAAAAGCAGCACUUGAAAUAGAAUUACUUGAGAAUCGCCUUAAGGAAAUGAAGAAAUAAACUGCCUGGCAGACCAGUGCAAAAAAAACUAAUAAAAGUAAUUUUGACAAAUCCUGUCUCUCAAAAGUCUUCCGUCUCUGUUGGCCUCUAAAAUCUGUCGGUGUUCCUCUGGGCCAUCUUCCUCAAUACAAC